AAUAUUUUCUUUUUUCCCCCUUUUCCCAAAAUCGAUUCCCCCCACCCUCAGAAAUCUCGCCUGAAAUCUCUUCUUCUUUUUUCCCCAUUUUAUUUUUUCCCAAACCAUAUUGUUGCAAACUCGUAAGAAGAUUCAAAAGAAAUUGAAGAUAAGAGGAUACAGCUUGAAGACGGAUGGUCUUGAUGAGAUUCUCUCCUUAGUCAAUCACUUCCAAGAUGCUGAAGAUGAGGCUAUUGAUCUCCUCCUCGACUAGCAUGAUCACCAAUCCUUAUUUUUUUAAUUGUAAGCAGUGAAUUCUUCCAUAAUCGACAAGGAGGCGGUGCACCAAGUAGUCAGUCUUCUACUGGAUGCUGAAGCAGCUGAGGGGGAGAUCUGUUAGAAUAUGCGGAUGUAAUUCUUGCAAAAAUCUCCUUAUUGGAAAUCCAGAGACUUAAUUCGUUACGGAACACUUUGAUAAUUAGUAAAAGCAAGUAAGGAGGGAAAGACUAAUGCUAGUUGUUUUUGUUUCUGACCACCUAAAAUUUCAUCCAUGAUCUUCAGUCAACGUUUGUUUCUAUGUCUAUACACCACUGUGUUACAAUCUCCUUGGAUAGUAUUAUUUUUAUAAAAAAUUAUUGCAAUCCUUAUAACAUUCAUUCUAUGGCUUUCUGUCUAAUAUGUUGGUCAGUUUCCUUUCUUUAGAUCAUGAUUUAUGAAUGAAAGGCAAUUCAUUCUCGCUGAGGUGUGCUAAUUUUCAGUGUUUGUUUACAGACCAUGGUUUUGAUAUAUGGGGCAUCAGUUAAUUUGAAUGUAAAGAAAAUGGAUCAACACAGGAAUUUUAAGACUUGUACAGGAGUUCUAUUGGAGGUCUUGUAGAUUCAUUGAUUUUAGAUGAUAAGAGCUGGACGUUGCUUGUAGAAGCUGUAGUUGAGAAUGUUGAUUAUUUUCUGGCUGAUAUUCUAUCAUUCUUACGAUGAGAAAUCUGUUCCUGUCAGUAUCAUACAUUUCAUGCUAUAGUCUAGCAGUAAACCAUAUAUGCAAGCUAGUGAUCAAGCCUAUGUCAGUACUGUAGACACCUCUAUUUGGAGGUUGCUAGAACUACAUUGACAAAUUGUUGAUUGUCAUCUGCUACAACUGCAAGAAUGGAAAGGUAUAUAAUUUCGGAGGAGCUUGGAGAUGGUACCUGUGGUAGUGUGUUCAAAGCCUUCAAUAUAGAAACAUUUGAGAUUACGGAGAAAGCAUUUCUCAAACAACCCAAGGUGUUUUUAAGAAUGUGAAAAGCCAAUGAAGCAAGGAGUUCUCGCUCCUGGACGUGUCCGUCUUUUGCUUCACAGAGGUCUAUGGACUCUGAAAUAUUUUUCAGAGGCUAUUUAUUAUCUGGAAAAGGGGGAAUCUGUUUUUGUGGCGGCACAUACAUCUGUUGGAAAGACAGUUGUAGCAGAAUAUGCAUUUGCUUUGGCAUCAAAUUACGUUAGUUAUUUUGGUUUUUUGCUUGUAAAUCUAUAGAUGUUUUGAUUUUUUGUUAGCUGGAGAUGUGACAAAUUGCUCACAUUGAUUAAAAACCUCAGGUCAUAUCUUUUUUAUUUUCAAGUUUUUGAAGUUCUAUGCAGAAUUUGGUUUAGUUUCAA
Gossypium raimondii (Peruvian cotton) is the source of this 1607-nucleotide long non-coding RNA. RefSeq lists it as uncharacterized. The record is from RefSeq and is a predicted model, not a curated record. The transcript has 6 exons. NCBI's taxonomy places the organism in Eukaryota, Viridiplantae, Streptophyta, Magnoliopsida, Malvales, Malvaceae.